UGGCUAAAGGGUUAUACUUCAUACUAACUGAAUAAAGAAAUGGUAGAAUCAGUACAACGAGCUAUGGCUCCUUUUCUAUGAAAUAAGAACUCAAGAACUUCUUCCCUUCCCACCUAAAGUCGCUUGCUUUUCCAUAAAUAAACCCUUUGAAACAGCCACUGAAUGCAUAACCUGUAUGGUGGAAAACAUUCUGUGGACAAUAUCUUAAUGCUUUGCUAAAAUGAACCGUUCCAUGAUAUAUUUCUACCAGUUGGUUCCCCAAAGCCCUUCCCACUAAAUACAAUGCCUUCAGCGCAACAGAUACUUUUAACAUAAAUUCAUUCUAUAUUCAGAUUUUUCAAUUAUAGUGCUUAUGCUGUCAUUUUUGUCAGGAUAAUAAUAACAGGUAUAAAUAGCUCUCUUUCUGUAAUCUAAAACCAACUGUAAAAGAAAGUAGACACUAAGAUACCAAAAAUAUUUCAUACUUAAAGCCAAAUGCGUUUAGUUCUUUUCCAUGCAGCACGUCAUAACAAAGUAUCUAUGCACUUACUGUUUCUUUUCCAAAGCAGCAGUUUGGGCCAACCUUUGAGGAUCUACUUGUCCCCCAUGGAAACUGAUCAUCAGGUCUCCCAGAUAGUGUGUGUGUGGGGCUGGCUGAAACUUUCCAGAUCACCGCAUCUGGACAAUGAGAUGCUGGACCUCUCAUCUGACCGCUGCUGCCUGCUGACCAACUCUUUUUCCUUACCUCUCCCUAACUCCUGUUUCCCUGCACGUAGUUAUAUUUCUUCCCUGCUAUAUAAACUCCUAACUUUCAUGGUUGGAGAGACGGAUUUGAGACUUGUUUCCUGGCUGACAUCACUCACAAUAAAAGCCUUUCUUUUCUGGUAA
Molecule: non-coding RNA, 867 nt
Organism: Macaca mulatta (Rhesus monkey)
Lineage: Eukaryota; Metazoa; Chordata; Mammalia; Primates; Cercopithecidae
Source: RefSeq, a predicted model, not a curated record